Molecule: ribosomal RNA, 253 nt
Filed under: uncultured bacterium
Lineage: Bacteria
Description: partial 16S ribosomal RNA
Rfam family: Bacterial small subunit ribosomal RNA
Source: RNAcentral
UACGAAGGGGGCUAGCGUUGCUCGGAAUUACUGGGCGUAAAGCGCACGUAGGCGGCGCGGUAAGUCGGGUGUGAAAUCUCGGAGCUUAACUCCGAAACUGCAUUCGAUACUGCCGUGCUUGAGGACUGGAGAGGAGACUGGAAUUUACGGUGUAGCGGUGAAAUUCGUAGAUAUUCGCAAGAACACCAGUGGCGAAGGCGGCUCACUGGCCCGGUACUGACGCUGAGGUGCGAAAGCGUGGGGAGCAAACAGG